GCCCGCGGAGCUGGUGGCGUCAGGCGUGGAGGUGGCGGCGUUUCGCCCCUGCUCGAUGUGAGGCGGAGCGCGGCCCAGGCAAGCGGCGUGCGAGGGGCGCGGGGCCUCCGCGCCGCAGGCGGGAGAGUUCACAAUGACGAAUGAAGAACCUCUCCCAAAGAAGGUUCGCCUUAGUGAAGCAGAUUUUAAGGUUUUACCUAGAGAUGAGCUUAUCCUAAGGUGGAAACAAUAUGAAGCAUAUGUGCAAGCUCUGGAGGGCAAGUACACAGACCUUAAUUCUAAUGAUGUGACGGGGCUGAGAGAAUCUGAAGAGAAGCUGAAACAGCAACAGCAAGAGUCUGCCCGAAGAGAAAAUAUUCUGGUGAUGAGGCUGGCAACUAAGGAACAGGAGAUGCAAGAGUGUACUAAUCAGAUUCAGUACCUCAAGCAAGUCCAGCAGCCUAGUGUUGCCCAACUGCGAUCAACAAUGGUAGACCCAGCCAUCAACUUGUUUUUCCUAAAAAUGAAAGGUGAACUGGAACAGACUAAAGACAAACUGGAACAAGCCCAAAAUGAACUGAGUGCCUGGAAAUUUACGCCUGAUAGGUAAACAAAACAAAUACUCCCCAGUCAAGACUUCCCUGACAGUCCCACUACGAGAAUGCUAUGGUGGGACAGCCAAGUACUCGUUUCCACACCAAGACUCAGACGUUUUGAGGCAAAAGCCACAUUCUUAUACUGUCCAGCUUGUAAUGCUUAAUGUAAAACUUACCAGAUGAGCCUUGUGUUUCAGCUUUUUUCUCCCCUUUGCUUCAGAGGCCUGACAGCGUCGGACUGUUCUGAAGAAAUGGCCAUCUUCGAAAAAAAUCUUUUCUAGAACAUGUAGACAUUUGCAAAAUUGUUCUAUUUGAAGAAAAUAGAGGGAGAAACAGAAGUCUUAAGUCUGUGGCACACUGUGUCUACAGACAGUUUGGAGGAGAGAGAACCUAGAGAUUAUAAAUCAUGAAUUGAACAUGUAAAAUUCCCGUAAAAUGUAGAAGUGGAAUAUGCUUCGCUCUUAACCUUGAGCCUAGUGACUUAGAGACACUGUAAGUCAGUUUUGCCAAUAAGACUGUGGACUUCCUGCUUGUUCACUGAACUGCUGGGUCAAAACUCGAUGAGGUGAAUUUUGCAUUAAAGAGUUUACUUGCUAACCAGUUUUGAAUAGCCACGAGAGUGCUAUUUGAUAUCACAACAGUGGUAGUGUACAUAUUUGACUGUUUAGCCUUUGGGCGCUCUAGCACUUGACGCAGCCUUAAGUCACUGUUGCUAAAUAAUGAACUGUUUUUCUGGAUGGUUGGUAAUACUGUGGACGCCUCAAAAUUAGGACUGUACAAAAAUGUACGUUCCAUCUAAAUGCAGGUUUGAAAUUGUUUGAAGCAAUAUAUAUUUGAUCACAACUAGUGUGUAUAAGAAAAACUGGUUGUGAUAAGAAUUUCACUGCAUGUUUUCAUGCAGAAAUGAGAAUUUUCCGAUCUUUGUUCUAAGAACUGAUCUCAAAUGCUUAAUACAGAAGGCACAUGAUGGCAACUGUCUUCAGUGUUGGUGGGGUGUUUUUAUUCCGUUGUACACCUGGGGUUUUUUGUAUUGUGCUUCUCUAUAAAAUGUGCCUUGAAAUAGUUGUAAUACCUAGUUCAAGGAACACUUCUGGUUAUACUGUUGUAUCGUGAAACUCCUGGGAUGAACGAGAAUUGAACAGGUUGUUACUUCUGCAUUGUCUCCUUUGCUGAAAAAGAAGUCAGUAUUUUAACAAACAAACUUAAAUGCAUGCAUUUUCUUUGGAUUCAGUGAAGGAGUUUUUGCUAUUCUCUUGAUGCCUCUGUUCUGUUGUCCCAAGUUACUUGUAAGAGUAGCGAUCUGGGACAGUUGGGAGUGCACGUCUAAGGUCUGUAAAGCAAAUUGUAGAUCUGGUGUAGCAUUUGUGUGUUUGUUUUUUCCCGUAGCAAAUAGAGUUCUAUUUAGUAAUUGGAGCUGUUGAUUUUUCAAAACAGUUGGGCAACGUUUUAUGACUGAAUUUAAAAAUGAAUUUUUUAAACUAAAAAGAGACAUUCAGCUGUCACAGAGGUGAUGUAUUCUAACAGUUUUGCUGACUUCAAGAUGCCAUUACAUAAUUUUGACUUGGAAGUAUCUUUAACUGUUUGUGCUUCAGAUGAUUAAUAUGGGAUCAAAGAGUAGUAUACUUAUGCAGGUUUAUUUUUUUUUGCAUGAGUAAUGACUUAACACCAAAAGAAAAAUCCACAGAAAAACUUUACCUUUUAAAAAGUGAUACAUCUGGAAUGAUUUUGCUAUAGCAGUAUCUAAGAUUUUAUUGAUCUAGCAUCAAAACAGAGCCAAACAGGGAAAAAGUUAAUGGCGAAGUGUCGAAUGCUUAUCCAGGAGAAUCAAGAGCUUGGAAGGCAGCUGUCCCAAGGACGUAU
RNA transcript from Vidua chalybeata, 2435 nucleotides. It is a transcript of the gene named WT1 associated protein, with no coding region annotated. The transcript has 7 exons. Lineage: Eukaryota; Metazoa; Chordata; Aves; Passeriformes; Viduidae. The record is from RefSeq and is a predicted model, not a curated record.